AUCAACGCUGGCGGCGUGCCUCAGACAUGCAAGUCGAACGAUUAAAGCUCUCUUCGGAGAGUGCAUAGAGUGGCGCACGGGUGAGUAACACGUAAGUAAUCUACCUUCGAGUGGGGAAUAACGUCCGGAAACGGACGCUAAUACCGCAUAAUGCAGCGGCAUCGUAAGAUGACAGUUGUUAAAGAUUUAUCGCUUGAAGAGGAGCUUGCGGCAGAUUAGCUAGUUGGUAAGGUAAUGGCUUACCAAGGCUACGAUCUGUAACCGGUCUUAGAGGACGGUCGGUCACACUGACACUGAAUAACGGGUCAGACUCCUACGGGAGGCAGCAGUCGGGAAUUUUGGGCAAUGGGCGAAAGCCUGACCCAGCAACGCCGCGUGAAGGAUGAAGUAUUUCGGUAUGUAAACUUCGAAAGAAUAGGAAGAAUAAAUGACGGUACUAUUUAUAAGGUCCGGCUAACUACGUGCCAGCAGCCGCGGUAAUACGUAGGGACCAAGCGUUGUUCGGAUUUACUGGGCGUAAAGGGCGCGUAGGCGGCUUUGUAAGUCACUUGUGAAAUCUCUGAGCUUAACUCAGAACGGCCAAGUGAUACUGCAAUGCUAGAGUGCAGAAGGGGCAAUCGGAAUUCUUGGUGUAGCGGUGAAAUGCGUAGAUAUCAAGAGGAACACCUGAGGUGAAGACGGGUUGCUGGGCUGACACUGACGCUGAGGCGCGAAAGCCAGGGGAGCAAACGGGAUUAGAUACCCCGGUAGUCCUGGCCCUAAACGAUGAAUACUUGGUGUCUGGAGUAAUUUGUGCUCCGGGUGCCGUCGCUAACGUUUUUAGUAU
Molecule: ribosomal RNA, 826 nt
Filed under: Acidobacteriota bacterium
Lineage: Bacteria; Pseudomonadati; Acidobacteriota
Description: bacterial SSU rRNA
Rfam family: Bacterial small subunit ribosomal RNA
Source: RNAcentral